This is a non-coding RNA of Pelobates cultripes (western spadefoot toad), 534 nucleotides long. NCBI's taxonomy places the organism in Eukaryota, Metazoa, Chordata, Amphibia, Anura, Pelobatidae. The record is from the annotation of a GenBank genome assembly.
GGCUAUGGGAGGUUAGGCUACGUGUAAAUAGCUGAACUUAGGCCGAACAUGUGAACUAUAUCUGGCUAAACAGUAAUCAAGAUUAUAAAUAAUAAAACUGAAUAGGUAAGUUAGUUUAACAUAAAAGUUUAAACCGCGAAUUAGCAACAGAACUCGUGGACGUUCAUGUCCCUGGUAAUGAGGUCAGGAGAGCUGCAGAAGUGGAGGGGACAACUCUCGUUAGGUCUCGUGCAUGUGUGCUGGAUCGUUGUGCAGGGUUAAGACUUCAGAGAAAAUUUGGUGCUUCAGCAAGCAUUGAAAUGUUGUACAGUCCCUUUGUGUUACACCUCUAGGAAGCUGGGUGAUCUCCAGUGAUAUUCUAUUCCUGCCAUUCUAAGUUGGCUGGUGACAGGGUUCAGGGAUCUUUGCCAUUGCAGUGUGGACCUUGUGAAGUCUUGGUAGAAAGAGAGGUUAGAACCUUCAAAGGUUAGUGGCGACUUGCCCCGUAGUGCUGUCAGCAAGGAUCUUUCAUCCUGUGACGUGGAACAAAAGACG